Molecule: ribosomal RNA, 253 nt
Filed under: uncultured bacterium
Lineage: Bacteria
Description: partial 16S ribosomal RNA
Rfam family: Bacterial small subunit ribosomal RNA
Source: RNAcentral
UACGAAGGGGGCUAGCGUUGUUCGGAUUUACUGGGCGUAAAGCGCACGUAGGCGGAUCGUUAAGUCGGGGGUGAAAUCCUGGAGCUCAACUCCAGAACUGCCUUCGAUACUGGCGAUCUUGAGUCCGGAAGAGGUGAGUGGAACUCCUAGUGUAGAGGUGGAAUUCGUAGAUAUUAGGAAGAACACCAGUGGCGAAGGCGGCUCACUGGACCGGUAUUGACGCUGAGGUGCGAAAGCGUGGGGAGCAAACAGG